Molecule: ribosomal RNA, 466 nt
Filed under: uncultured bacterium
Lineage: Bacteria
Description: partial 16S ribosomal RNA
Rfam family: Bacterial small subunit ribosomal RNA
Source: RNAcentral
GAUGAACGCUGGCGGCGUGCUUAACACAUGCAAGUCGAACGGAAAGGCCCUGCUUGCAGGGUACUCGAGUGGCGAACGGGUGAGUAACACGUGGGUGAUCUGCCCUGUACUUUGGGAUAAGCCUGGGAAACUGGGUCUAAUACCGAAUAUGACACUUGUUUGUAUGCGAUUGUGGAAAGCUUUUGCGGUUUGGGAUGAGCUCGCGGCCUAUCAGCUUGUUGGUGGGGUAAUGGCCUACCAAGGCGUCGACGGGUAGCCGGCCUGAGAGGGUGUACGGCCACAUUGGGACUGAGAGACGGCCCAGACUCCUACGGGAGGCAGCAAUGGGGAAUAUUGCACAAUAGGCGCAAGCCUGAUGCAGCGACGCCGCGUGGGGGAUGACGGCCUUCGGGUUGUAAACUCCUUUCGCAACCGACGAAGCCUUUUGGUGACGGUAGGUGGAGAAGAAGCACCGGCUAACUACGUG